Molecule: ribosomal RNA, 253 nt
Filed under: uncultured bacterium
Lineage: Bacteria
Description: partial 16S ribosomal RNA
Rfam family: Bacterial small subunit ribosomal RNA
Source: RNAcentral
UACAGAGGGGGCAAGCGUUGUUCGGAAUUACUGGGCGUAAAGGGCGCGUAGGCGGCCCGCUAAGUCGAACGUGAAAUCCCCGAGCCCAACUCGGGAACUGCGUCCGAUACUGGUGGGCUUGAAUCCGGGAGAGGGAUGCGGAAUUCCAGGUGUAGCGGUGAAAUGCGUAGAUAUCUGGAGGAACACCGGUGGCGAAGGCGGCAUCCUGGACCGGCACUGACGCUGAGGCGCGAAAGCGUGGGGAGCGAACAGG